RNAcentral lists this ribosomal RNA (468 nucleotides) under uncultured bacterium. Its description in RNAcentral is "partial 16S ribosomal RNA". It matches the Rfam family "Bacterial small subunit ribosomal RNA", at positions 28 to 507 of the family's 1533-position model. The record is from RNAcentral.
GACGAACGCUGGCGGCGUGCUUAACACAUGCAAGUCGAACGGAAAGGCCCGGCUUUUGUGGCGUGCUCGUGUGCCGAACGCGGGAGUAACACGCGAGUAACCUGCCCUUGACUUUGGGAUAACAUCAGGAAACUGGGGCUCAUACCGGAGAUGAGCUCCUGCAGCAUGGUGUGGGUUGGAAAGUUUCGGCUGUUGUGGAUGGACUCGCGGUUUAUCAGCUGGUUGGUGGGGUAGUGGCUGACCAAGGCUUUGACGGGUAGCCGGCCUGGGAGGGUGACCGGGGACCAGGGGACUAAGAGACGGAGCAGACGCCUACGGGAGGCAGCAGGGGGGAAUAUUACGCAGUGGGGGGGAGCCUGAUGCAGCAACGUCGCGUGCGGGAUGACGGCUUUCGGGUUGUAAACCGCUUUGGCCUGUGACGAAGCGUGAGUGACGGUAAUGGGUAAAGAAGCAACGGCUAACUACGUG